Molecule: long non-coding RNA, 752 nt
Organism: Lynx canadensis (Canada lynx)
Lineage: Eukaryota; Metazoa; Chordata; Mammalia; Carnivora; Felidae
Exons: 3
Source: RefSeq, a predicted model, not a curated record
GCAAGUGCCGUCCUAGCCCCGCCGCGUUUUUACGCAUCUGCAUCUUCCCGCGGAGCAGGUCCCAGAACUUUCUCGGUCAGGCAGGCUGGAAGGAGCACACCUGGGGGUCCAACCGACCUAUUCCUGGAGGGAGCCUCCUCUCCUUCUGGGGUGCUGAGACUUUGUGGAAGUGAAUUUAGAAGCCGCCGGGCAGGCCAGACCCUUCACUGUCUCCCGAGAGGUGCAGAAAAUGAACACAUCUCAGCUUACGUUCAGGUGAUGGAAGAUGAUUAAAAGACUUUGUUAUUUGAUAAUCGACAUAGAAGAAAUGAAACAAGGAACGCGUUGUGAAGGAUCGAUUUUAAUUUUUAAUAAGUUGAUCAGAUACGCGUCUCUGAGAAAAUAUUUGGAGACAGCAUUUGACAAGUGUGGGGAAAGAAGCCUUGCUGGUGUCUACAGAAGAACACUUCAUGCUGAGGAAACUGCCAGUGCAAGGACCCUGAGGCAGAGUGGUACCCGAGGCGUCCUGCCAACAGCAAGAACAGAGGGCCAGUAUGGCUGAAGGGGUGAAAGAGGACAGAUCACGUGGGGCCUUGAAGGCCAUCACGCUUGUCACGCACGUAAUACAUUUGAGAUCGUCCCUGCUGUUGCGUGUGUCAGUCCCAUUGCGUGGCUCUGUCACAAUUUGUUGAUCUGUGUACCGGUUGGACAUUUGUGUUGCUCCCAGCUUCUGGCCUUGUGAAUAAAGCUGCUUGAAUGUUCAUUUUUCAGUC